Molecule: transfer RNA, 71 nt
Filed under: Ignavibacteria bacterium
Lineage: Bacteria; Pseudomonadati; Ignavibacteriota; Ignavibacteria
Also listed under: 1 other name
Description: tRNA-Gly
Rfam family: tRNA
About the family: Transfer RNA (tRNA) molecules are approximately 80 nucleotides in length.
Source: RNAcentral
GCGGGUAUAGUUUAGUGGUAGAACAUAUCGUUGCCAACGAUAAAACGGGAGUUCGAUUCUCCCUACCCGCA